Molecule: unclassified non-coding RNA, 22 nt
Filed under: Mus musculus (house mouse)
Lineage: Eukaryota; Metazoa; Chordata; Mammalia; Rodentia; Muridae
Description: oocyte_clustered_small_RNA9352
Source: RNAcentral
AUCAGAGCCUUAAGUCAGAGAC